UUCAGCCUUUAUUAAAAACUGGAGUGAGGUUAGUGCCAGUAAACCAGUGACGAGUUGGCAGUUCAGGAAAAAAUUGGGAGAAGUGUUGAUAAACUAAUGAAUAGCCAUCCUUUAUGGCCAGCUUAGUGGUUAUGGAUGCCCCGACUUGAGCUGCGCAUUUUGCAAAGAAGUCUGCCCUUUCAUUAGCAGGAAUACCAAUAUGUGAAGGAGUCCAAAUAAAGGUUAUGAGUCGUCUGUGGGGACUGUGAUUCUGGUUCCUGUUAAUAAACUGCUUGCUGCUAAUGGGAUCAGUGACUGCUGGAAACUUUUUAAUACAUUUAAUCCUUCUGUGCUGUUAAGAGAUAGAAACUAUCUUGGUUGAAGGUGGGCUUGGAAGGCGAUAUUUGGAUUGGAUCGGCAAUGGCAUGACGUAUUUGAAUUCUGGGUGAAGCAACUUGGCUAUAUUUUGUUUUUGUAACUCUUUUGUUUAUUUCUUCAUAAACACUUCUUUUUGG
This is a long non-coding RNA of Musca domestica (house fly), 494 nucleotides long. RefSeq lists it as uncharacterized. The record is from RefSeq and is a predicted model, not a curated record. The transcript has 5 exons. Lineage: Eukaryota; Metazoa; Arthropoda; Insecta; Diptera; Muscidae.